AGCGAACGCUGGCGGCAGGCCUAACACAUGCAAGUCGAACGAACUCUUCGGAGUUAGUGGCGGACGGGUGAGUAACACGUGGGAACGUGCCUUUUGGUUCGGAAUAACUCAGGGAAACUUGUGCUAAUACCGAAUGUGCCCUUCGGGGGAAAGAUUUAUCGCCAUUAGAGCGGCCCGCGUCUGAUUAGCUAGUUGGUGAGGUAACGGCUCUCCAAGGCGACGAUCAGUAGCUGGUCUGAGAGGAUGACCAGCCACACUGGGACUGAGACACGGCCCAGACUCCUACGGGAAGCAGCAGUGGGGAAUCUUGCGCAAUGGGCGAAAGCCUGACGCAGCCAUGCCGCGUGAAUGAUGAAGGUCUUAGGAUUGUAAAAUUCUUUCACCGGGGACGAUAAUGACGGUACCCGGAGAAGAAGCCCCGGCUAACUUCGUG
RNAcentral lists this ribosomal RNA (433 nucleotides) under uncultured bacterium. RNAcentral describes it as "partial 16S ribosomal RNA". It matches the Rfam family "Bacterial small subunit ribosomal RNA", at positions 29 to 507 of the family's 1533-position model. The record is from RNAcentral.